GUUAAGCUGAUAAGUGCAUGGGGCGGAUGCCUUGGCACUGGGAGCCGAAGAAGGACGUGAUAAGCUGCGAAAAGCUGCGGUGAGGAGCAAACAUCUUAUGACCCGCAGAUAUCCGAAUGGGGAAACCCGGCAGUGCAGACCACUGUCAUCCAUACGCCAAUACAUAACGUAUGGAAGGGAACCCGGGGGACUGAAACAUCUAAGUACCCGGAGGAAGAGAAAGAAAAUCGAUUUCCUUAGUAGCGGCGAGCGAAAGGGAAAGAGCCCAAACCUGAAUGCUUGCAUUCAGGGGUUAGGACUGCAUAAUCGACUGCUGACGGAAGGAGAACGGCAUGGGAAGGCCGUCCAGAGAGCGUGAGAGACGCGUAUCCGAAUCCGAAGGCAGCGAGGCAGUAUCCAGAGUACCACGAGACACGAGAAACCUUGUGGGAAAGAGCGGGGACCACCCCGUAGGAAAGGCUAAAUACUACCCAGUGACCGAUAGCGCAUAGUACCGUGAGGGAAAGGUGAAAAGGACCCCGGGAGGGGAGUGAAAGAGAACCUGAAACCCUGUGUAUACAAGCUGUGGGAGGACGUUAAAGUCCGACCGCGUACUUUUUGUAGAACGGUCCGGCGAGUCACGUUUACCGGUGUGGUUAAGUACUUAAGGUACGGAGCCGAAGUGAGAGCAAGCAUGAAGAGUGCAUGUAAUCAGUAAACGUGGACCCGAAACCGGGUGAUCUACCCAUGUCCAGGCUGAAGCUGCCGUAAGAGGUAGUGGAGGGCCGAACGCACAUCCGUUGAAAAGGGUGGCGAUGAGGUGUGGGUAGGGGAGAAAUUCCAAUCGAACCCGGAGAUAGCUGGUUCUCCUCGAAAUAGCUUUAGGGCUAGCCCUGUGACAGUCACACGCAGGUAGAGCACUGAAUUUCCUAGGGGGCGUCAAAGCCUACCGAAGAAUAUCAAACUGCGAAUGGCGUGGUGAUGAUUCACAGGAGUCAGACUGCACGAGAUAAGUUGGGUGGUCAAAAGGGAAAGAGCCCAGACCCACUGCUAAGGUCCCAAAGUGCGUGUUAAGUGGAAAAGGAUGUGGGAUUUCAAAGACAGCUAGGAUGUUGGCUUAGAAGCAGCCACGCAUUCAAAGAGUGCGUAAUAGCUCACUAGCCGAGAGGUCCCGCGCCGAAAAUGUCCGGGGCUGAAACACGACACCGAAGCAUGGGAAUCAUACACAAGUAUGGUUGGUAGAGGAGCAUUGAUGACGCGGCGAAGCGGUACCGGCAAGGAGCCGUGGAGUGUCAUGAAGAGAGAAUGCCGGAAUGAGUAGCGAGAUUAAAGUGAGAAUCUUUAAGGCCGAAUAUCCAAGGUUUCCGGGGUAAAGCUGAUCUGCCCCGGGUAAGUCGGGGCCUAAGGCGAGGCGGAGACGCGUAGCCGAUGGACAACAGGUUGAGAUUCCUGUACUGCAAUGGAUCAGAACUGUGGGGACACGGGAGGUAAAGGAAAGCCGGGAAAGGAAAGCCCGGUGAAAGCCGAGGAGGCGUAUGCGAGGCAAAACCCGCAUGCAAGCCAGAGCGGUGAGAGGAGCGAAACAAAAGUAGCGAAGUUCCGGAGCCUGCCGUCAAGAAAAGCCGCUAUAGUGUCCAUUGUACCCGUACCGUAAACCGACACAGGUAGAUGAGGAGAGAAUCCUAAGGCCGGCGGGAGAAGCAUUGUCAAGGAACUCGGCAAAAUGACCCCGUAACUUCGGGAGAAGGGGUGCCACAGCAAUGUGGCCGCAGAGAAUAGGCCCAAGCAACUGUUUAGCAAAAACACAGGUCUAUGCAAAACCGAAAGGUGAAGUAUAUGGGCUGACGCCUGCCCGGUGCUGGAAGGUUAAGGGGAGAUGUCAGGAAACGAAGCAUCGAACUUAAGCCCCAGUAAACGGCGGCCGUAACUAUAACGGUCCUAAGGUAGCGAAAUUCCUUGUCGGGUAAGUUCCGACCCGCACGAAAGGCGUAAUGAUUUGGGCGCUGUCUCGACAAUGCACCCGGUGAAAUUGAAGUGCCAGUGAAGAUGCUGGCUACCCGCGCCAGGACGGAAAGACCCCAUGGAGCUUUACUCUAGUUUGGCACUGGGAUCUGGCAUUGCACGUACAGGAUAGGUGGGAGGCUGAGAAAUGAUGACGCCAGUUGUCAUGGAGCCGGCGUUGGGAUACCACCCCUGCAUUGCUAGGUUUCUAACCAGCCGCCGUGAUCCGGCGGUGGGACAAUGCCAGGCGGGGAGUUUGACUGGGGCGGUCGCCUCCGAAAGGGUAUCGGAGGCGCUCAAAGGUUCACUCAGAAUGGACGGAAACCAUUCGCAGAGCGCAAAGGCAGAAGUGAGCUUGACUGUGACACCGACGGGUGGAACAGGUACGAAAGUAGGACUUAGUGAUCCGGUGGCAUAAAGUGGGAUUGCCAUCGCUCAACGGAUAAAAGCUACCCUGGGGAUAACAGGCUUAUCACUCCCAAGAGUUCACAUCGACGGAGUGGUUUGGCACCUCGAUGUCGGCUCAUCGCAUCCUGGGGCUGGAGUAGGUCCCAAGGGUUGGGCUGUUCGCCCAUUAAAGCGGUACGCGAGCUGGGUUCAGAACGUCGUGAGACAGUUCGGUCCCUAUCCGGCGCGGGCGCAGGAUAUCUGAGAGGAGCCGUCCUUAGUACGAGAGGACCGGGACGGACUGACCUCUGGUGUACCGGCUGGCAUGCCAAUGCCACGGCCGGGUAGCCAAGUCGGGCAGGGAUAAACGCUGAAGGCAUCUAAGCGUGAAGCCCCCCUCAAGAUGGGAUAUCCCACUGAGUAAUCAGGUAAGACCCCUUGAAGACGACAAGGUUGAUAGGCUGGAGAUGUAAGUACAGCAAUGUAUUCAGUUGACCAGUACUAAUAGGUCGAGGGCUUAA
Molecule: ribosomal RNA, 2888 nt
Filed under: [Bacteroides] pectinophilus
Lineage: Bacteria; Bacillati; Bacillota; Clostridia; Eubacteriales
Description: Bacterial large subunit ribosomal RNA
Rfam family: Bacterial large subunit ribosomal RNA
Source: RNAcentral